GUAGGUGAACCUGCGGAAGGAUCAUUACCGAGUUCGUGCCCCCCGGGGUAGAUCUCCCACCCUGUUUACCUGACCCUGUUGCUUUGGCGGGCCGACCCUCCAGGCCGCCGGCGAUUCGCUGGCGUGCGCUCGCCAAAGGCCCCCAAACCCUGAACCUGAACGCGGCGUCCGAGUACUAUCUAAUAGUUAAAACUUUCAACAACGGAUCUCUUGGUUCUGGCAUCGAUGAAGAACGCAGCAUCUGACUGAC
RNAcentral lists this unclassified non-coding RNA (250 nucleotides) under plant metagenome. RNAcentral's name for it is "partial contains small subunit ribosomal RNA, internal transcribed spacer 1, and 5.8S ribosomal RNA". The record is from RNAcentral.